UGGAAGUGUUUAUGUAAAUACAUGAUUGCAUUUCUGUUUAAUAGGGUUAAUUUCCAGAAAUAGAAUUUCUGGGUUGAGGGCAUAAGCAUUUUUAAAUGAUUGUCACUGUGUCUUUUCUCACAAAGCAGUAGCAGCUUUCUAAAAGUAUCCAGUUCCUUUGUUGCUCCCACUACAAGGGUUUUCAUAAUGAGGCCUAGUCUAUGGCAGUGAGCUUUCCUGCUUAUUUUUUCAUUCUCAUAGAUGUGUUUAUUUUUUUAGGAUCGAGGAAAUAACAAUGUAAUGAGCAAUUAUGAGGCCUACAAGCCUUCCACAGGAGCUAUGGGAGAUCGACUAACGGCAAUGAAAGCAGCUUUCCAGUCACAGUACAAGAGUCACUUUGUUGCAGCCAGUUUAAGUAAUCAGAAGGCUGGAAGCUCUGCUGCUGGGGCAAGUGGGUGGACUAGUGCAGGGAGCUUGAAUUCUGUUCCAACUAACUCAGCACAACAGGGCCAUAACAGUCCUGACAGCCCCGUCACCAGUGCCACCAAGGGCAUCCCAGGCUUUGGCAAUA
RNAcentral lists this small RNA (550 nucleotides) under Pan troglodytes (chimpanzee). Its description in RNAcentral is "retained intron". Lineage: Eukaryota; Metazoa; Chordata; Mammalia; Primates; Hominidae. The record is from RNAcentral.